AUAUAUAGGAUAUAAAAGCAACACCCGCUGAAUUGAAACAUCUUAGUAAGCGGAGGAAAAGAAAGAGAAUUCGAUUCCCUGAGUAGCGGCGAGCGAAAUGGGAUCAGCCCAAACCGGUUCCGCUUGCGGAACCGGGGUUGUAGGACUCCAAUGUGGUACUUUGAUAGUUAGGUGAAUCAUUUGGAAAGAUGAUCCAUAGAAGGUGAUAGACCUGUAACCGAAAACUUGAUAAGACUUAGGAUGUUCCUGAGUAGCACGGGACACGUGAAACCCCGUGUGAAUCUGCGCAGAGCACUGCGUAAGGCUAAAUACUAGACAUCGACCGAUAGUGAACCAGUACCGUGAGGGAAAGGUGAAAAGGACCCCUGUUAGGGGAGUGAAAUAGUACCUGAAACCAAUUGCCUACAAGCGGUCGGAGCUUCUUUAUGAAGUGACGGCGUACCUUUUGCAUAAUGGGCCCGGGAGUCAUUGUUCGUGGCAAGCUUAAAUCCUUAAGGGAUGAAGGCGCAGCGAAAGCAAGUCCGAAUAGGGCGUUCAGUCGCGGGCUAUGGACCCGAAGCGGAGGUGAUCUACCCAUGGCCAGGUUGAAGCAACAGUAAGAUGUUGUGGAGGACCGAACCCACGUACCUUGAGAAGUGCGGGGAUGAGCUGUGGGUCGGAGUGAAAGGCUAAUCAAACCCCGCUAUAGCUGGUUCUUUCCGAAAUACCUUUAGGGAUAGCCUCAUGCGCUGACUGAUGGGGGUAGAGCACUGAAA
RNAcentral lists this ribosomal RNA (755 nucleotides) under uncultured bacterium. RNAcentral's name for it is "bacterial LSU rRNA". It matches the Rfam family "Bacterial large subunit ribosomal RNA", at positions 162 to 915 of the family's 2925-position model. The record is from RNAcentral.